GAUAAACGCUGGCGGCGCACAUAAGACAUGCAAGUCGAACGACUAACGGUCAGUUCUUUACGAUUGAGAGCGGUUAGUGGCGGACUGGUGAGUAACACGUAAGCAAUCUGCCUAUCAGAGGGGAAUAACAGUGAGAAAUCAUUGCUAAUACCGCAUAUGCUAACAGUAUCGCAUGAUACAGUUAGGAAAGGAGCAAUCCGCUGAUAGAUGAGCUUGCGCCUGAUUAGAUAGUUGGUGGGGUAACGGCCUACCAAGUCGACGAUCAGUAGCCGGACUGAGAGGUUGAACGGCCACAUUGGGACUGAGNUACGGCCCAGACUCCUACGGGAGGCAGCAGUCGGAAUAUUGCGCAAUGGAGGAAACUCUGACGCAGUGACGCCGCGUAUAGG
This 389-nucleotide ribosomal RNA is filed under the name uncultured bacterium. RNAcentral's name for it is "bacterial SSU rRNA". It matches the Rfam family "Bacterial small subunit ribosomal RNA", at positions 28 to 407 of the family's 1533-position model. The record is from RNAcentral.